AGUCAAUAACGUAGGAGGAAGGGGGUCUUUUAGCCUCGAUCCUAGGCCGCACUGAAGAUGAGGCCUUGUAAACACCAAUAGCUAGGGCAUCUUGGCAUCAUAAAUUAUACUCUCUGAGCUGACAAACUUGGGUAUCAUCAAGUACAGUGCUACGUGGAGGGAGUUGAAUACAGCAAUGAAAGGAACAGAGAAGAGGCCUACAGAUUCAAGGUGGUAUUAGAGUCGAGUAUAAAUUAAUACCUCAGUGGUACCCUUACCUCCUCUAGCUCUCUUCGGAAAGUAUCGUAUGUGUGGCCGACUGGUGUCAGUUCUCAGUGAGCGCCCCCUCAAGUCUGGAGGGUUAGGUUGUGAGGUUCAUGGCUUACCUGCAUGCUGUGUUUGACUGGAGAGGAUCAACGGAGCAAAAAGUGAACUAAAGAGAUGUCGCAGUUAACAAGAUAGCCAGCUGCUGGGAUGUCACGAGGGAACGAGAGAUCAGUUCUCUGAAGUCCAUAGUCUUAUUAUUAGUCUUGUAACAGUUGUGUAUCACAUGCACUCUCUCUUGUUUUAAAUAAUUCAGCAGCAAUGU
Long non-coding RNA from Halichondria panicea, 568 nucleotides. RefSeq lists it as uncharacterized. The transcript has 2 exons. NCBI's taxonomy places the organism in Eukaryota, Metazoa, Porifera, Demospongiae, Suberitida, Halichondriidae. The record is from RefSeq and is a predicted model, not a curated record.